Trichonephila clavipes is the source of this 71-nucleotide non-coding RNA. The record is from the annotation of a GenBank genome assembly. NCBI's taxonomy places the organism in Eukaryota, Metazoa, Arthropoda, Arachnida, Araneae, Nephilidae.
GUCUCUGUAAAGCAAUGGAUAGCGCGUUGGAGUUAAUCCAAAGGUCGUGGGUUCGAAUUCCACCUGGGAUA